AGCAGUCGCCGCGGGAAUACGAGGGGGGCAAGCGUUGCUCGGAAUGACUGGGCGUAAAGCGCACGUAGGCGGCUUUGUAAGUUAGAGGUGAAAGCCCGGAGCUCAACUCCGGAAUUGCCUUUAAGACUGCAGAGCUAGCAGGUGAGAGAGGUGAGUGGAAUUCCGAGUGUAGAGGUGAAAUUCGUAGAUAUUCGGAAGAACACCAGUGGCGAAGGCGGCUCACUGGCUCAUACUGGACGCUGAGGUGCGAAAGCGUGGGGAGCAAACAGGAUUAGAUACCCGGGUAGUCCCUGUCUCUUAUAC
RNAcentral lists this ribosomal RNA (303 nucleotides) under uncultured bacterium. Its description in RNAcentral is "partial 16S ribosomal RNA". It matches the Rfam family "Bacterial small subunit ribosomal RNA", at positions 507 to 807 of the family's 1533-position model. The record is from RNAcentral.